AAUAUUGCACAAUGGGGGAAACCCUGAUGCAGCCAUACCGCGUGUAUGAAGAAGGCCUUAGGGUUGUAAAGUACUUUCAGCGAGGAGGAAAGGUUGUAGGUUAAUAACCUGCAGCUGUGACGUUACUCGCAGAAGAAGCACCGGCUAACUCCGUGCCAGCAGCCGCGGUAAUACGGAGGGUGCAAGCGUUAAUCGGAAUUACUGGGCGUAAAGCGCAUGCAGGCGGUUUGUUAAGCGAGAUGUGAAAGCCCCGGGCUCAACCUGGGAACUGCAUUUCGAACUGGCAAACUAGAGUUCUUGAGAGGGUGGUAGAAUUUCAGGUGUAGCGGUGAAAUGCGUAGAGAUCUGAAGGAAUACCAGUGGCGAAGGCGGCCACCUGGCAAGUAACUGACGCUCAGAUGCGAAAGCGUGGGUAGCAAACGGGAUUAGAUACCCCGGUAGUCCACGCCGUA
This 452-nucleotide ribosomal RNA is filed under the name uncultured marine bacterium. RNAcentral's name for it is "bacterial SSU rRNA". It matches the Rfam family "Bacterial small subunit ribosomal RNA", at positions 360 to 804 of the family's 1533-position model. The record is from RNAcentral.